CACGCCCAAACACACCGGUGAAUGGCCAACCCUUUUCUGAAUUGAGUUGGGAAAUAUGCUGCUCUGUGGGCUUCAGGGUCCGUGUACAUUUCGUUAUCAAAACUGAGAAUGGAAAAACUACAUUUGAAAAUCAGAAAUCAACUUGUUUUCUCAUUUGUUUGGCUUGCACUAGCAAGCACUAGCUGCUAGAAUAAAGUAAUGACAUCUCAUUUUGUCUUAGCUUGUAAAAUAUAUAUUUAUAUAUUUUUGGACAAAACUAAAAACAAAAAUUUAAUAUAUUGUGUUAUUUGUUUUAUAUUAUUACAUGUCCAAUUUUGAAACAAUUGAGAAACGGAAUCGUUUUGCGUUUUUCCAUUCUCCGUUUUUAUUCGGAAAUCAAAAUAACGAAAUGUACACGGACCCGUCAGCUUGAUAAGGUGAAGCAACCUUGAGUAGGAGGGGAAAUCAAAGUUUGGAAUUGGAACAGUGGCAGAAGAUCCGGAGUACGAGUGCGGAGCACUCGGGAUAAGUCCUUCAGAAACAGCAGGACAAAGAAAUCUAACUCCGGAGUGAUAAGGAUGGGUGAGACACCAGUCAGGGAUGAUGGCACAGUUACAAGGUCAGCUGAGUAUGUUGGCUCCUUUCCUGUGGAUGACUGUUGUUUGGAUGAUCAGAUGCAGCAGUUGCACACACAGCUCAAGUCUCUCAAAACAUGCAAGAAAAGGAGGUCUGUGUCCCUGAAAUUUUCCAUCAAAGGUGUGAAGAUGUAUGAUGAAGAUGAGACGACCAUCCUCAUGGCCCAUGCUCUACGAAGGGUCUCCCUUUCCACCGCCCACCCCUCGGAUGCCCAAUUCGCCUUUGUUUCCCACAAUCCAGGAAACCCUGAUGCCCAACUUUACUGCCACCUCUUCAAGGCUAGUCAUGCCAGAGCAGCCCAGUUCCUGAACCUGUUGCUGUGCCGCUGUUUCCAGCUGUCCUACCUGGAGAAGCACCCAGAGGAGGCUCAAGUUGAGUCUGCAGGCCCACUGCCCAACUGUACCCCCUCCCUCCUCAACCAGGGCUUCCCUCUCAGUGUCAGCGCCCUUGUGUCCUUCAGAAGGGCCCCCACUCAGGGCUUACUCCCAGGGGAAAAGGUCUUCCCAUUGAAGAACAACAGCGCAACAACUGAGGAACAACCAAGCAUCCAAGAAAACGUCAUCACCUCUCCUUCCCUGGUGCGCAAGAAAGCCAUCCGCAACAAAGUACUGCGCUCAGGGGCCUAUCGCUCCUUCACUUAUACCCCUCACAAACAACGCCACCUUCAGGAUCGGCUUAACUCUCCACAAGGAAAGGGGCAGGACAAAAUGCCAGGGAGGAGAGCCCGGGCCCCGAGCCUUGCUGAAACAGAAGAAGCUCUGGCUCAAGCGGUGUGGUGUUGGGCUGGCAUCACCACUGACAGCAGCUCUUCCCUGCUUGCAGAGGAUGUCCUGGGCUCGUACCUCCUGUGCCCGCAUCCUAAGAGACCUGGCUGUGGCUCUCUCAUCAUUCGUUUCUCUUCUGGCCUCAUCACCCACCUCAUAGACAACACAUAUAAAGGGACAUACCUGCUUGAGAACUGCCAACAAGAAUUCUGCACCAUUGCUGCUUUGAUAGAGCACUACACAGAGUUCAAGGAGGAGCUGGACUUUCCUCUGAGUUGUGCCCGUGUAAACCACUGCUACGAGUGGGAGGAGAAUGUUGGCAAGCAUGAGGUGAAACAGAAACGUAAACCUGAUGAUACAAAGGAGAACAAACGACGGAAACAAACCAUGUACAGGACGCAGGCCAGAGAUUGAAUGUGUGCAAGGUCACUUUCAUGUCUGUGUUCCAGCUAACCAACAACUGUCUUAAGGUUGUUCGGGAAAAGUUAGGAGUUCAAGCUGAGGCAGGUGAGGUUGCAGGGUCACCAGAUCAGGCUAUUGAGGCUAGGUCUCCUUUAGAAGAUGGAAGAGGGAAGCAUAGCAAUAGGCCACAUCGGAUACAUGCUACAGUGAAAGAGGGCAUCAAGGAGCACAUUCUAUCUUACCCAAGAACCCAGAACCACUACUCUCAGAUGAAGGGGGAUGUAAACAGAGAAUACCUCAGCCCUGAUCUGAAUUUGUUGCGAAUGUACCGACUCUACAAAGAGAAGAAUACCACAUCUGCAAAAUUCUGGGUUUAUAGGGACAUUUUCAAACAGCAGUCUCAAUUCUGGCCAACCCAGGAGUGACACCUGUGGGAAAUGUGAUGCAUUCUUCACUAAAAUGUCAGCAGCAACAUCUGAAGAGGAAGAUUGCGGUUGAAAGUGAGUUGCACCAUCGAAAAGGCCUACACACAGCGUCAAAGUGACACUGAGUGGGCUAAAGGCCACUGCCAUGCUGACUGCCAUGUCAUUUCUGUGGAUCUACAGGGGGUGAUGUACACCCCUAAUCUGACCCACUCUGAUGUUCACUACCAGCGGCAGCUGUCAAAUUUUAACAUUUGCAUCCAGGAGCUUGUAAAAGAAGAUCCUGCAUACAUGUGUGUUUGGCAUGAGGGGAUUGCACACAGAGGGUCAUGCAUAUUGAAGUGGGUGAAGACAAAAUUCACGCCACUCACCAAACCAAAGGUGCGCAAGUUGAUCAUCUUCAAUGACAGAUGCUGUUGGCAGAAUAACAACUGAUGGAUGCUCAAUCUGAUGUCGAUGCUCGUCUCUAUGGGUUACUUUACCCAAGUUGAGCAGAAGUUCAUGGUCUCUGGUCAUCCUUUUCUUCCUUGUGAUGGAUAUUUUGCCACCAUCGUGAAGAGGCGCAUGGUGUCAGUCCUUCAUACAACUGAUGAUGUUUCAAAGAUGAUACUUGAAGCACAACCAGUAAAACCAUUCAAGGUUAUGUGGAUGCAAUGUGAAGACUUAAGGCACCUCCCAGAUUCUGUCCUCAAGCGACCAGCUGGACUACAGAUCACCUCAGUGAGGUGGUUAAAAGUCACAGUUGAAGAUCCUUGGAAUCUGUACACCAGACAGAGCCACAGUAUAUUUGAGGCAUGGAAAUCAUGGCUGAUCUCCAAACCAAAACAAGGAGCUACACCUCAACCUCCCUAUUUUGCAAGCCACUACCCUAGAGCAUAUGAGAGUCCUCUGUCCAUCAAAAAAAAACAAGUACCAAGAUCUGAUGACCAUGCUCAACUACUUGCCAGCUGCUGCACGCUCUUUUUAUAAAUCACUGCAGAGUGAAUCAUUUGAUGUUAAACCAAGCUACGUAAUUAACCGUUUUUUUCUGUGAGUUUGAUCCCCUGAACCUGUAUAGUAUGUUGAAUCUGAAUACAUUUCAGAAGACAUGUCACCCCUAUUGUAGGAAAUUAAAUGUAUAGUAGGUGUUUUCUAUGUGAAUCAAUGUGUAUGAUUUGAACCAGCACAAUAUAUUGAAUUCAUUUAAUUUUAAGAUGUUCCUAGUGUAGAAAAUGUUAUGUACAGUGUGUUCUGUUGAAUUAUUUUGUGUGAUCAUUUUAACUUUUUUUUUAUCGUAAUUAAUUAAAAACAUAAGUCAUCA
RNA transcript from Oncorhynchus keta (chum salmon), 3503 nucleotides. It is a transcript of the gene named SH2 domain-containing protein 5-like, with no coding region annotated. Lineage: Eukaryota; Metazoa; Chordata; Actinopteri; Salmoniformes; Salmonidae. The transcript has 14 exons. The record is from RefSeq and is a predicted model, not a curated record.